ACAGCCAUAUCAUGUUGAAACACCAGUCCGCAUAUGAUGACCAAAGUUAAGCAGUGUUGAGUUUGGUCAGUACCUAGAUGGGUGACCAUUUAGGAAUACCAGGUGCUGUAAG
This is a non-coding RNA of Acanthosepion pharaonis, 112 nucleotides long. Lineage: Eukaryota; Metazoa; Mollusca; Cephalopoda; Sepiida; Sepiidae. The record is from the annotation of a GenBank genome assembly.